ACCCGCACGCAGGGGAGUCCCGCCCAAGGGACUGAGAGGCUGAUAGGGCAUUUGCCCGGUGACGCGACCCUUUGAACCUGACCCAGUUGAUACUGGCGUAGGAAGCUAAGGGUACAUCGGG
Molecule: non-coding RNA, 121 nt
Filed under: Aquimixticola soesokkakensis
Lineage: Bacteria; Pseudomonadati; Pseudomonadota; Alphaproteobacteria; Rhodobacterales; Paracoccaceae
Description: TPP
Rfam family: TPP riboswitch aptamer (THI element)
About the family: Vitamin B(1) in its active form thiamin pyrophosphate (TPP) is an essential coenzyme that is synthesised by coupling of pyrimidine and thiazole moieties in bacteria. The previously detected thiamin-regulatory element, thi box was extended, resulting in a new, highly conserved RNA secondary structure, the THI element, which is widely distributed in eubacteria and also occurs in some archaea.
Source: RNAcentral